Small nucleolar RNA from Terrapene triunguis (Three-toed box turtle), 145 nucleotides. The record is from Ensembl. NCBI's taxonomy places the organism in Eukaryota, Metazoa, Chordata, Testudines, Emydidae.
AAAGAAGCAAAAUGAUGAGCAUUAUUUACUUGAGCCUUAGAGAAGUGUGUGAGUAUGAAGUGUGAGUAUGAAAUUGUGUGAUUGUGAGAAAUGUGUCCCUUUCAACUGGGCAAUGAUGGCUAAACUGAUAAGAUCUGAUUGCUUC